This 1465-nucleotide ribosomal RNA is filed under the name uncultured Citrobacter sp. RNAcentral describes it as "bacterial SSU rRNA". It matches the Rfam family "Bacterial small subunit ribosomal RNA". The record is from RNAcentral. Lineage: Bacteria; Pseudomonadati; Pseudomonadota; Gammaproteobacteria; Enterobacterales; Enterobacteriaceae.
AUUGAACGCUGGCGGCAGGCCUAACACAUGCAAGUCGAACGGUAACAGGAAGCAGCUUGCUGCUUUGCUGACGAGUGGCGGACGGGUGAGUAAUGUCUGGGAAACUGCCCGAUGGAGGGGGAUAACUACUGGAAACGGUAGCUAAUACCGCAUAAUGUCGCAAGACCAAAGAGGGGGACCUUCGGGCCUCUUGCCAUCGGAUGUGCCCAGAUGGGAUUAGCUUGUUGGUGAGGUAACGGCUCACCAAGGCGACGAUCCCUAGCUGGUCUGAGAGGAUGACCAGCCACACUGGAACUGAGACACGGUCCAGACUCCUACGGGAGGCAGCAGUGGGGAAUAUUGCACAAUGGGCGCAAGCCUGAUGCAGCCAUGCCGCGUGUAUGAAGAAGGCCUUCGGGUUGUAAAGUACUUUCAGCGGGGAGGAAGGGGGUAAGGUUAAUAACCUUAGCCAUUGACGUUACCCGCAGAAGAAGCACCGGCUAACUCCGUGCCAGCAGCCGCGGUAAUACGGAGGGUGCAAGCGUUAAUCGGAACUACUGGGCGUAAAGCGCACGCAGGCGGUCUGUCAAGUCGGAUGUGAAAUCCCCGGGCUCAACCUGGGAACUGCAUUCGAAACUGGCAGGCUUGAGUCUCGUAGAGGGGGGUAGAAUUCCAGGUGUAGCGGUGAAAUGCGUAGAGAUCUGGAGGAAUACCGGUGGCGAAGGCGGCCCCCUGGACGAAGACUGACGCUCAGGUGCGAAAGCGUGGGGAGCAAACAGGAUUAGAUACCCUGGUAGUCCACGCCGUAAACGAUGUCUAUUUGGAGGUUGUGCCCUUGAGGCGUGGCUUCCGGAGCUAACGCGUUAAAUAGACCGCCUGGGGAGUACGGCCGCAAGGUUAAAACUCAAAUGAAUUGACGGGGGCCCGCACAAGCGGUGGAGCAUGUGGUUUAAUUCGAUGCAACGCGAAGAACCUUACCUGGUCUUGACAUCCACAGAAUUUCUCAGAGAUGAGGAAGUGCCUUCGGGAACUGUGAGACAGGUGCUGCAUGGCUGUCGUCAGCUCGUGUUGUGAAAUGUUGGGUUAAGUCCCGCAACGAGCGCAACCCUUAUCCUUUGUUGCCAGCGAUUCGGUCGGGAACUCAAAGGAGACUGCCAGUGAUAAACUGGAGGAAGGUGGGGAUGACGUCAAGUCAUCAUGGCCCUUACGACCAGGGCUACACACGUGCUACAAUGGCAUAUACAAAGAGAAGCGACCUCGCGAGAGCAAGCGGACCUCAUAAAGUAUGUCGUAGUCCGGAUUGGAGUCUGCAACUCGACUCCAUGAAGUCGGAAUCGCUAGUAAUCGUGGAUCAGAAUGCCACGGUGAAUACGUUCCCGGGCCUUGUACACACCGCCCGUCACACCAUGGGAGUGGGUUGCAAAAGAAGUAGGUAGCUUAACCUUCGGGAGGGCGCUUACCACUUUGUGAUUCAUGACUGGGGUGA